CUAAAGGUUUAUCAUAUUUAAUUUGUAGAUAUCCAACUAAAAAAAAAUGUCGCUCAAAUAAUAAACUCAAAUUAAGAGAGAUAAUGUUAAAUCAGUAAAAAUUGAUAAGGUUUUUUUUUAGAUUAACUUUGGACAGGGCCCAUUUUAUUAAUAAUAAAAAAAAAGGCUGGACAAAACAGACUCAAUUGAGCCCAAAAAGGAAAAUAAAUAAGAUGUUGUGGGUCAAGACUCGGUCUAUCUUAACCCUCUAUAAAUAUGACCUAAAGUAGGGUUGUUAGAAUGAGAAUCGUCCAGCAACAUCCACAAAUGGCGCCGCUGGAAGCUCAUUUCAAUGACAGCUUUCCUUUGCUCCGGCUUUGGGUUAUUAAUCUUAUCGGAGAUCGAUUUAGUGACGAGCUCCUCUUGAUCAGCUCGCAAAGGAUCUGAGGCUCAGUCCCGGGGUCCCGCUUAGCAGUAGAUUGGUGUGUCUGAGAUUUGCAAUUGGUGAGUCUCCCCUAUUCCGGAAAGCCGAGCUUAUAGAACAAUGUUAUUUAGCUGAUUCAUGGUCCGACUGAGAGGCUUGUCCCAGUUUUGUUUUUGGACAUAUGUUGAAUCUUUUAAUGUUAGAGAUUUUGCAGACGAGUGUUAUGUGUUUUGAACAUUAAGGAUUUCCUUUCGAAUUGUCUAGUUAAAUUAUGACAUUGACCAUGUUUCCA
Molecule: long non-coding RNA, 695 nt
Organism: Capsicum annuum
Lineage: Eukaryota; Viridiplantae; Streptophyta; Magnoliopsida; Solanales; Solanaceae
Exons: 2
Source: RefSeq, a predicted model, not a curated record